CCUACGGGUGGCAGCAGUGAGGAAUAUUGGUCAAUGGGCGGGACCCUGAACCAGCCAAGUCGCAUGAGGGAUGAAGGCCCUAUGGUUUGUAAACCUCUUUUGCCGGGGAGCAUAGUGCCGCACGUGUGCGGUUUGGAGAGUACCCGGAGAUAAAGCAUGCGCUAACUCCGUGCCAGCAGCCGCGGUAAUACGGAGGAUGCGAGCGUUAUCCGGAUGUAUUGGGUGUAAAGGGUGCGUAGGCGGACGAUUACGUCAGCGGUAAAAUUGCGGGGCUCAACCUCGUCGAGCCGUUGAAACUGGGUGCCUUGAGUGGGCGAGAAGUACGCGGAAUGCGUGGUGUAGCGGUGAAAUGCAUAGAUAUCACGCAGAACUCUGAUUGCGAAGGCAGCGUACCGGCGCCCAACUGACGCUGAAGCACGAAGGCGUGGGUAUCGAACAGGAUUAGAUACCCCAGUAGUC
RNAcentral lists this ribosomal RNA (459 nucleotides) under uncultured bacterium. RNAcentral describes it as "partial 16S ribosomal RNA". It matches the Rfam family "Bacterial small subunit ribosomal RNA", at positions 338 to 795 of the family's 1533-position model. The record is from RNAcentral.